GACGGGGGGGGCAAGUGUUCUUCGGAAUGACUGGGCGUAAAGGGCACGUAGGCGGUGAAUCGGGUUGAAAGUGAAAGUCGCCAAAAAGUGGCGGAAUGCUCUCGAAACCAAUUCACUCGAGUGAGACAGAGGAGAGUGGAAUUUCGUGUGUAGGGGUGAAAUCCGUAAAUAUACGAAGGAACGCCAAAAGCGAAGGCAGCUCUCUGGGUCCCUACCGACGCUGAGGUGCGAAAGCGUGGGGAGCGAACAGG
RNAcentral lists this ribosomal RNA (251 nucleotides) under uncultured bacterium. RNAcentral describes it as "partial 16S ribosomal RNA". It matches the Rfam family "Bacterial small subunit ribosomal RNA", at positions 524 to 776 of the family's 1533-position model. The record is from RNAcentral.